GGAAAAUCCCACUUAUUAGGACGUCGUCACAUGCGAGUUUACACAGUGCAUUUACGCGGAGCUCAAAUGAUUUGUGAUUUACGGAGUGGUUUUAAGUGUUAUUUCUGUUUUGUUGGAUAUAAAUGGAGUUGGAGAUAGAGGAGCUCGAAAGUAUAAUUUCUGAGCAGAACACCAUUAUGUACGCCUGCACAAUCUCAAGUACUGUCAUCCGAUGACGACAAUGACCAGGUAGAAGGUGGAUGUAGCGCCGUCAUGGAAAACCGCAUUGGGUCCUUCAUUUCUGGGCAGCCUGCGGAAUCAAGCAGUGACUUCACUGACGAUGAUGGAAGUGAUGACGUUGAUGCGUUUUCGCAGGAUGAUAGCAUUUGACGUUUCCACGAAUCUCGCUGUGGAUGUGCUAAGAAAUCCACGAUAAAUUUGAUGCCUCCCAAAUCAGAACGCACAUCCUUGAUACGCGGGAAUAGACGAGGGAAGAAAAGGAAAUGUAUAUUAAAGGCUGUUUGUCCGAAGGCCCCACAAAUGACUCUACAAAGCGUAGGAAAAAGAGAGUGAAUUAGUGGCAAAAACACAUUUCGCGGUAAGGAAAUAUUUGCAAAUACGUUCAGAUUGUUAUUUGACAUAAGACGCUGUGCAUUAAAAUCAAUAAGGCAAUCAUUGAACAAGACCGGUCCGGACUCACGCCGGCAUGGAAAUACAGGAAGUAAACCAAAACAUGCUCUGGUCUUCACAAAUGUCGAGCGUGUGUUCCAAUUCAUCUACAACUAUGCGGAAUAAUUCGGAAUUCCCCAACCUGCAGCUCCGCGUGGGAGAGACGAUACGGCAUCGAUAUACCUACACAGCGGUACAACGAAAAUGAACAUUCAUAAGCUGUACAAAGCAAACUGUCAAGAGGCUGGCGUGCGCAUCGUCGAAGAAAGCUCAUUUCAGUCAAUAUGGAGUGCCUGCAUCCCACAUAUAAAGGUCGCAUCCCCUAGAGACGAUGUGUGCGCCACCUGUGAGAAGCUGCGAAAAAAAAUAUGGAUUCGGUAUCGGAGGAGGACAAACUAGCUUCCACUGAAGAAAUGCAUAGUCAUAUUGUUUUUGACACAAACAGAAAUAGACCUUAACAACAGUCUCAUUAAAAAAGCAAAAGAAAUGUCACAUCCAACUGAACGAUCAAACCACUUCACAUUUGAUUUCGCGCAAAGUGUAGGCAUACCGCACCAUGCACGACAGAUGGGGCCAUUCUAUUUCGCAUCUUUAAGAAAAGUCCAAAUUUUUGGAAUGAGAAUUGAUGGACAAUCACGUCAAUUGAAUUUUCCCAUCGACGAAAAUGAGAGCAUCGGUGCAGAUGGAACUAAUGCUCAAGGACCAAACGCUGUCAUCUCGAUAAUAGACUACGUGCUCAAAACCCAUGGAUGCGCAGAUCUCUCGUGCACAAUAGAAGCCGUUAAUUGUCCGAGUCAAAACAAAAAACAGUUUGUGCUAAGCACUGCUUGGGUACUUCGCAUGGCGAGUCCUGACACGGCGCCACACUUCAAUCGAAUAUAUGAUGCAGGUUCCGGGUCAUUCACGAUGUUUGGUAGAUAGUGGGCUCGCCGAUUUAAAAAAAGCUACACAGAUAAGAAACAAAACAUUAAUAGUUUUACAAGUUUUAUUUGCAACAUAAAUAUACAAGAUGAUAAUAAGUAGUAUUAUUGAUGAUAUCAUAAUAAAUUACACGCCCGGUAAAUGGUAUCAUUACAUGUAAGUCCUUAAAACAUGGCAUACAUGGUUUGUUUUACUUAUGUUAUUGAAUAUGCGCUUCAGACGCCCGGACUGUGACGCCAUUCAGCAGCUAGAGGAUAUUGUCAACAAGUCGUCUAGUGCAACAGAGGCUGUGCGAUAUCCGACCUGGCGCUGGCGUGACUGGAAGACUUUCUUGUCUACAUCUUUUAAAGCAAUACCCGUGAUAAGGAAGUACCAGUACUCCAGAUUCGACUCAUCGAGGCCCGGCACGGUUUUCGCAACGGAGAAAGCAACGGACCUACCCGAGGAAGAGUUUUUCAUCACGAAACACAGGGAACUCCCCUCAGCAGAACCAUGCUUAAUUAAUCAGGCAGGGCUAUCAGAGAAUCGCGUGAAAUAUCUUACAAAACUGUCAGACCAUUUGUGCGACCGUGUUAUCAGGACAUUACCUGUCCAACACCCACAGACUGAUUGCAUGUGAUUACAUCAUGUAUUCGAACAUCAACCUAAACAGUUAUUUUAAUCCAUGCGCGUGUAAAUGAAGAGUUUUCCAACAAGUUGUUUUAAUAUUUGAAUAAGUGUUUGAUAUUGCGAACUUUUAACAUGCUGUUAACGUCAUGAAUAUGUCAUUCCGAUUGAAAAUGACGCGACGUCAACAGCUUUGUUGAGUGACAGGUUGCGUAUAUAAUGUUGUCAUAGCAACGCUAAAUAGUGGCGUACACAUGUAAUUUAUACAUCAUUGGAUUCGUGGAUGAACGUACAAUAUAGAAACUGAAAAAAAACCCACUAAACAUUGAUUUAUUUUGUCAUUAAUACAGGUUUUGUCGUGGAACGGCUCAUAUAUAUUUAUCAUUUUUCGUUGUUCAAGAAAGUGUUUAACCUUCUGUACAUGGUAUAAAUGCGUCGGAAAGAUUGGAAACGAUGGAAUGAUUCGUCAGAGUUCUUCUCGUACAGUAAGAGUAACGUUCGUACCAACAUACUUAAGAACUCUUUCGUUAUGUACACAUUUUAUUAUAUUAGCACACAAAAUUGAAUAUACUUAACACAAGAUCCAUGGAUA
Dreissena polymorpha is the source of this 2767-nucleotide RNA transcript. RefSeq lists it as uncharacterized. The record is from RefSeq and is a predicted model, not a curated record. The transcript is spliced from 4 exons. Lineage: Eukaryota; Metazoa; Mollusca; Bivalvia; Myida; Dreissenidae.